ACAUUCAAACCCUUUGCAGUUGCAAUCAGCGUCUGAAAAAACAUAAUAGUUACAACUUUCAACAACGGAUCUCUUGGUUCUGGCAUCGAUGAAGAACGCAGCGAAAUGCGAUAAGUAGUGUGAAUUGCAGAAUUCAGUGAAUCAUCGAAUCUUUGAACGCACAUUGCGCCCCUUGGUAUUCCAUGGGGCAUGCCUGUUCGAGCGUCAUUUGUACCUUCAAGCUCUGCUUGGUGUUGGGUGUUUGUCUCGCCUCCGCGUGUAGACUCGCCUUAAAACAAUUGGCAGCCGGCGUAUUGAUUUCGGAGCGCAGUACAUCUCGCGCUUUGCACUCAUAACGACGACGUCCAAAAGUACAUUUUUACACUCUUGACCUCGGAUCAGGUAGGGAUACCCGCUGAACUUAAGCAUA
Molecule: ribosomal RNA, 409 nt
Filed under: Epicoccum nigrum
Lineage: Eukaryota; Fungi; Ascomycota; Dothideomycetes; Pleosporales; Didymellaceae
Description: eukaryotic LSU rRNA
Rfam family: 5.8S ribosomal RNA (bases 54-207)
Source: RNAcentral